This 83-nucleotide transfer RNA is filed under the name Ameiurus melas (black bullhead). It matches the Rfam family "tRNA". From Rfam's summary of the family: Transfer RNA (tRNA) molecules are approximately 80 nucleotides in length. Their secondary structure includes four short double-helical elements and three loops (D, anti-codon, and T loops). Further hydrogen bonds mediate the characteristic L-shaped molecular structure. tRNAs have two regions of fundamental functional importance: the anti-codon, which is responsible for specific mRNA codon recognition, and the 3' end, to which the tRNAs corresponding amino acid is attached (by aminoacyl-tRNA synthetases). tRNAs cope with the degeneracy of the genetic code in two manners: having more than one tRNA (with a specific anti-codon) for a particular amino acid; and 'wobble' base-pairing, i.e. permitting non-standard base-pairing at the 3rd anti-codon position. The record is from Rfam by way of RNAcentral. Lineage: Eukaryota; Metazoa; Chordata; Actinopteri; Siluriformes; Ictaluridae.
GUCAGGAUGGUCGAGUGGUCUAAGGCGCUGUGUUAAGGUUUCAGUCUCUUCUGGAGGUGUGGGUUCAAAUCCCACUUUUGACA